RNAcentral lists this ribosomal RNA (253 nucleotides) under uncultured bacterium. Its description in RNAcentral is "partial 16S ribosomal RNA". It matches the Rfam family "Bacterial small subunit ribosomal RNA", at positions 524 to 776 of the family's 1533-position model. The record is from RNAcentral.
UACGAACUGUGCGAACGUUAUUCGGAAUCACUGGGAUUACAGGGUGCGUAGGCGGCUAUUCAGGUCAGGUGUGAAAGCCCCCGGCUCAACCGGGGAACUGCGCUUGAAACCGAGUGGCUCGAGUCAGCUAGAGGUACACGGAACUUCCAGUGGAGCGGUGAAAUGUGUUGAUAUUGGAAGGAACACCGGAGGCGAAAGCGGUGUACUGGGGCUGGUCUGACGCUGAGGCACGAAAGCCAGGGGAGCGAACAGG